GCGGGAUUAGUUUAGUGGCAGAAUAGUUGCUUCCCAAGCAAUAGGCGCGAGUUCGAUUCUCGCAUCCCGCA
Molecule: transfer RNA, 71 nt
Filed under: Patescibacteria group bacterium
Lineage: Bacteria
Description: tRNA-Gly
Rfam family: tRNA
About the family: Transfer RNA (tRNA) molecules are approximately 80 nucleotides in length. Their secondary structure includes four short double-helical elements and three loops (D, anti-codon, and T loops).
Source: RNAcentral